RNAcentral lists this transfer RNA (63 nucleotides) under Trachypeplus jacobsoni. RNAcentral describes it as "tRNA-Asp". The record is from RNAcentral. Lineage: Eukaryota; Metazoa; Arthropoda; Insecta; Hemiptera; Tingidae.
GAAAAGUUAGUUUAAAAAAAACAUUAUUUUGUCAAAAUAAAAAUAUAUAAUUUAUACUUUUCU